GGAGGUAUGCUUAACACAUGCCAAGUCGAACGCGAACGUUUCUUCGGAAACAAGUAGAGUGGCGGACGGGUGAGUAACGCGUAGGAAUAUACCUAGUAGUGGGGGAUAACAUGGAGAAAUUCAUGCUAAUACCGCAUAUGUCCCAUGGGAUAAAGAGGGCCUCUUCUUGAAAGCUCUUGCUAUUAGAUUAGCCUGCGUCGGAUUAGCUUGUUGGUGGGGUAAUGGCCCACCAAGGCGACGAUCCGUAGCUGGUCUGAGAGGAUGAUCAGCCACACUGGGACUGAGACACGGCCCAGACUCCUACGGGAGGCAGCAGUGGGGAAUAUUGGACAAUGGGGGCAACCCUGAUCCAGCAAUACCUCGUGUGUGAAGAA
Molecule: ribosomal RNA, 374 nt
Filed under: uncultured bacterium
Lineage: Bacteria
Description: bacterial SSU rRNA
Rfam family: Bacterial small subunit ribosomal RNA
Source: RNAcentral